AUGUUGUUUAAUUCGACGCAACGCGAGAACUUACCAGGCCUUGACAUACUCGGCAAAGCUCUAGAGAUAGAGUGGAGGUUAUCCGGGAUACAGGUGGUGCAUGGUUGUCGUCAGCUCGUGUCGUGAGAUGUUGGGUUAAGUCCCGCAACGAGCGCAACCCUUGUCUUUAGUUACCAUCAUUAAGUUGGGGACUCUAGAGGAGACUGCCGGUGAUAAACCGGAGGAAGGUGGGGAUGACGUCAAAUCAUCAUGCCCCUUAUGGCCUGGGCUACAAACGUAAUACAAUGGCGUAUACAAAGGGAUGCGAAAGGGCGACCUGGAGCAAAACUCACAAAGUACGUCUCAGUUCAGAUUGGAGUCUGCAACUCGACUCCAUGAAGGCGGAAUCGCUAGUAAUCGCGGAUCAGCAUGCCGCGGUGAAUACGUUCUCGGGGUCU
Molecule: ribosomal RNA, 437 nt
Filed under: uncultured Erysipelothrix sp.
Lineage: Bacteria; Bacillati; Bacillota; Erysipelotrichia; Erysipelotrichales; Erysipelotrichaceae
Description: bacterial SSU rRNA
Rfam family: Bacterial small subunit ribosomal RNA
Source: RNAcentral